This 2175-nucleotide long non-coding RNA is filed under the name Chinchilla lanigera (long-tailed chinchilla). RNAcentral's name for it is "lncRNA (ENSCLAG00000025757.1)". The record is from RNAcentral. Lineage: Eukaryota; Metazoa; Chordata; Mammalia; Rodentia; Chinchillidae.
UCCUCCCAUCAUAUUCCUGUGCCACAUGCCUUUACCCUCUGCCCUCACACCUGCCUCCACACUGCCCACCGCCCCCUCACACAUGUGCCUCCUAGCAACCUGACCUUCCAUCCUUCCAGGUACCUCUGUGCUACCUCCCUGGACUCCCAGUCACACUCGCCCUGCUCUGACACCCACAAGUCUGAUGCCUCCAUCUACCUCCACUGGCGGGCACCUUCUGCUCCCUCCCGUCUCUGCCCCAGCCUCCAUCCUCCCCCUUCCACCAGUGAUUCUCACCCGAGGACGCACAACCCACAGGCGGCCUAUCAGAACCUUCUUCUGGGUCCGUUUCCUGCUGUUAUAUCUGUCUGUGAGCAGAACACUGCUCCCCUCCAUGUGCUGAUAGGCCUCCCUGGGGCCGUGCCCACUGCCCCCCUCGGGUGGAACCCACCCCCCCCAUCCCCGGGGAGAAUCACUGCUGUGGGUGCCACCUGGUGCCUCCUGGCCUCGUUCUCCCAUUUCAGGACUCCAGCGUGCCAGUGGUGGCCAUCUGAUGUCCUCACUCGAUCUCAGCAUGUGCCCACCGAUGCAGACCUGGCACUCUCUUCCUGGGACCACCAUGUUCCCCUCACUGUUUACUCUUCACUACAAGAACUGACACAAACCCACUCUACCUGAGAGUUAUUCUUCCACAGGACCCCUCACCACCCCAACCCGCUUGCGCCCAGAAACCAAAAUAAUCCUUCCGAACCUGUCAGUGUGUUUGCACCAAAUGUGGUCUUCUCGGAGAUACUGUGGUCUUGGUCUUGUCUUUGUUAAUUGCUCUUCCCAUUUGUGAUUCUGGCAAAGGUUCCCAUAUAGUGUGUCUCUUUGAGCCUGUCUUUCCUCCUCUCUCACGGCCAGCCUUUUACUCUUCCCUUCCCUUCCCUUCCCCUCCUUUAGCUACUCUCUUCCUCCUAGCAGGAAGGCAGGCUCAGUGGGCUCCCCAGACACUACUCUUCACUUCACACCCUACAUCUGGAAUGUUCUACCAGCUCGGUUCAGUAGGAUGUCUUCUCCAUUCAUGCAGGGAGCCUCAAGGCCCCAUAUCGAAGCGACCUACUGCCCUCCCUGCCCUGCGUCCCUCCUUGACACAAAUCCUGUCCCCGACCCCAUCCUAGCCCCAAACCCUUGCCCAGCGGAUCCAUGGUUAAGAGCUUGGCGUAAAAUGUACACCUUCUGACAACACCCAAGACUUCUAAAGCAAAUGUGUCUCCCUGUCCAUAGGGAUCCACCCCUUUCCUGCGUGGCCCUCCCCAUGCCUGAGCCUUGCAGGCAGCCUGAGCACCCAAAGAGCCUUCAGUGCCACCUGCUGCUGCCCCUCCGCCCUGCUCCCCUGUGGCUGUCCAGCCCGUCUCCCUCCCACUGCACUGUCCUCUCCACCUUCCCUUGGUGCCCCCUACCCCCGUCUGCCUUCCAUGGGUGACUGCCCCUUGCCCUGUUUCUUGCUCUCAUUGUCACAUCUUUCCUGCUGCCUGUCCUCCUGCCACCCUUUUCCUCUCCUUCAGUCCCGGGCCUAGGGCAGCCUCCCCACCCCUUAUCUGAGGCCCUGCUGUCCUGCACUACCUGGUGCCCGCCACUCCUUCAGGUUUCUAUGGAGAUGCAGUCCCUCCCUCCCAUCAGCCAUGCCUUCAGAAGCCCCUGCAUGAUCUAGCUGAGCGGUAGUCCUCGGGUUGUCCAUGCCCAUCUUCACCUGUCCUUCACACCCAGGGCUCUGCCACGUCAGGCAUUUUAGCCUCACACUAACGAUACAUUCUACCUGGCAGAUUGGCCUCAGAUUGCAGGCUACUUGCAGAACUCUACAACCAAGGCCCCUCCAGACUUCAUGUUUCCUUUAUUCUUCCUUUCGGGCGUCUGAAAACACUCUUGGAAACCUCUGCCUCUGAUGUCCCACCACCUUCCUGUGCCACAUGCAUUAAUCCUCAGCCCUCAGUCCUGCCACCACAGUGCCCACUCCACCUCACACGCAUGCCCCCUGGCAACCUGGCCUCCUGCUGAGCUUCACGACUCCGUCUUUCAGGCGGGCAGCCCGUGCUCCCAACCUUUCUCUUCCUGCUUCUCCUCCCACCUAAGCACUAACUGCUUCAAGAGCUCUCCUUCUGCCCGGCCCUUCUUCUGUCUGGUGCUGCCUUCCCUCCCCUGGACAGUGGCCCCUGC